This 2084-nucleotide long non-coding RNA is filed under the name Calidris pugnax (ruff). Its description in RNAcentral is "lncRNA (ENSCPUG00000004621.1)". The record is from RNAcentral. Lineage: Eukaryota; Metazoa; Chordata; Aves; Charadriiformes; Scolopacidae.
AUGGCCGUGUCCCCGAUGUCCCCGAUGUCCCCGAUGUCCCCGGCCAUGGCCAGGCCCCGGCUGCCAUCGGCCCUCGGGCUCCUGCUGCUGUGCCUGUGCCUCCCAGAUGCCUCCGGCCGCUGCGACCCCAACUCCCAGUUGGUCCCACUAACGGCCGGGGUGGAUCCCUGCAAGGAUCCCACCGGAUUCCUCAGCCCCCAGCUGGGCGGGGGCACAGCCGGAUCCUACGGAGGCGGAUCGGGAUCCUAUGGGAGUGGAUCGGGAUCCUACGGAGGCGGAUCGGGAUCCUACGGCGGAUCGGGAUCCUAUGGAGGCGGAUCGGGAUCCUAUGGAAGCGGAUCAGGAUCCUAUGGAAGCGGAUCGGGAUCCUACGGAGGCGGAUCGGGAUCCUACGGCGGAUCGGGAACAUCCCAGGGGGGUGGAAAGUUUCCAGGAUCCUUUGUGUCUCCGGGAUCUUCUGGGGGCAGGCCGGGAUCCUAUGGGAUCAGACCAGGAUCCCACGGGGACGGCUCGGGAUCCUUUGUGUCGCCGGGAUCUGGUGGGCCGUUGGGAUCCUACGGACACGGGUCUUACGGGGGCGGAUCGGGAUCCUACGGCGGCUCGGGAAUAUCCCAGGGAGGUGGAAAAUAUCCGGGAUCCUUUGUGUCACCGGGAUCUUCCGGGGGCAGGCCGGGAUCCUAUGGGAUCAGACCGGGAUCCCACGGGGACGGCUCAGGAUCCUUUGUGUCGCCGGGAUCUGGUGGGCCGUUGGGAUCCUACGGACACGGGUCUUACGGGGGCGGAUCGGGAUCCUACGGCGGCUCAGGAAUAUCCCAGGGAGGUGGAAAAUAUCCGGGAUCCUUUGUGUCGCCGGGAUCUUCCGGGGGCAGGCCAGGAUCCUAUGGGAUCAGACCGGGAUCCCACGGGGACGGCUCAGGAUCCUUUGUGUCACCGGGAUCUGGUGGGCCGUCGGGAUCCUACGGGGGUGGAUCCUAUGGAGGAUCCAGUUCGGGAUCCUACGGAAGCGGAUCCGGAUCAGGAAGACCUGGAUCCCAUGGGGGCAGCGGAUCCGGAUCGGGCAGACCUGGAUCCCAUGGGGGCAGCGGAUCUGGAUCGGGCAGACCCGGCUCAUCUCAAGGAGGAUCCAGUUCGGGAUCCUCUGGAAGCGGAUCAGGAUCAGGGAGACCCGGAUCCCAAGGAGGAAGUGAAUCUGGAUCCUAUGGAGGCGGGUCAGGAUCCUACGGGGGAUCCGGAUCCCAUGGGGGAUCCACUUCUUAUGGAGGACCUGGAUCCUACGGAGCUGUGCCGGAAUCCAUCAGGGGAUCCUACGGAGGAUCCAGUUCAGGAUUUGGCAGACCCGCAUCCCAGGGGGGCAGCGGAUCCGGAUCGGGAAGACCCGGAUCCGGAUCGUACGGGGGAUCAGGCUCCUAUGGGGGCAGCUCGGGAUCCUAUGGGUUCCCUGAUGUCUACGGGGAUGAUUCGGGAUCUUACGGGGGAUCGGGAUCCUACGGGGGUGGAUCAGGCUCCUACGGAGGAUUGGGAUCCUAUGGGGGUGGAUCGGGAUCCUACGGGGGAUCGGGAUCGUAUGGGGGUGGAUCGGGAUCCUACGGGGGUGGAUCGGGAUCCUAUGGGGGUGGAUCGGGAUCCUCUGGGGGAUCGGGAUCCCAUGGGGGUAACCGGCGCCCCGGGUACAAGAAUCCUGGGAUCCCCUACAUACCGGGGCUGCGGGAUCCCGCCCGGAUCGGGGGCUACAUCCCCAUCCGCCGGGUCCCCUCAGCGGGAUCCACUCAGGGAUACGGGGUGGGAUCCGGGAUGGGAUCUGGAUACGGCUCCAGUUCCGGGGUGGGAUCGGGGAUGGGAUCUGGAUACGGCUCCAGUUCCGGGGUGGGAUCCGGCUCCGGGGCGGGAUCCAGCUCGGGAUCUGCCACCUACAGCUCCGGGGCGGGAUCCAGCAGCGGAUCUGGGACGGGAUCCGGCAGCGGAUCCGGAGCGGGAUCCGGCCAAUCCCAGUCCAGCUGUGGGACCUGUGACAAAUAGGGACACCCAGAUCCCUCCUGGGGACGUGGGGGGAUCCCGUGUCCCAAUAAAGUCGUUGGAUGGCGGCA